RNAcentral lists this ribosomal RNA (254 nucleotides) under uncultured bacterium. Its description in RNAcentral is "partial 16S ribosomal RNA". It matches the Rfam family "Bacterial small subunit ribosomal RNA", at positions 524 to 776 of the family's 1533-position model. The record is from RNAcentral.
UACGGGGGGAGCAAGCGUUGUUCGGAUUUACUGGGCGUAAAGGGCGCGUAGGCGGUCGUGACAAGUCACUUGUGAAAUCUCAGGGCUUAACUCGGAACGGUCAAGUGAUACUGUCGGACUAGAGUACAGAAGGGGCAACUGGAAUUCUCGGUGUAGCGGUGAAAUGCGUAGAUAUCGAGAGGAACACCUGCGGCGAAGGCGGGUUGCUGGGCUGAUACUGACGCUGAGGCGCGAAAGCCAGGGGAGCGAACGGG